This 76-nucleotide transfer RNA is filed under the name Lancefieldella rimae. RNAcentral describes it as "tRNA-Ala". It matches the Rfam family "tRNA". Rfam says of the family: Transfer RNA (tRNA) molecules are approximately 80 nucleotides in length. Their secondary structure includes four short double-helical elements and three loops (D, anti-codon, and T loops). Further hydrogen bonds mediate the characteristic L-shaped molecular structure. tRNAs have two regions of fundamental functional importance: the anti-codon, which is responsible for specific mRNA codon recognition, and the 3' end, to which the tRNAs corresponding amino acid is attached (by aminoacyl-tRNA synthetases). tRNAs cope with the degeneracy of the genetic code in two manners: having more than one tRNA (with a specific anti-codon) for a particular amino acid; and 'wobble' base-pairing, i.e. permitting non-standard base-pairing at the 3rd anti-codon position. The record is from RNAcentral. Lineage: Bacteria; Bacillati; Actinomycetota; Coriobacteriia; Coriobacteriales; Atopobiaceae. RNAcentral also lists the same sequence under 60 other names.
GGGGAUGUAGCUCAGCUGGGAGAGCAUCACGUUCGCAACGUGGGGGUCGUGGGUUCGAAUCCCAUCAUCUCCACCA